RNAcentral lists this ribosomal RNA (510 nucleotides) under uncultured bacterium. Its description in RNAcentral is "partial 16S ribosomal RNA". It matches the Rfam family "Bacterial small subunit ribosomal RNA", at positions 28 to 523 of the family's 1533-position model. The record is from RNAcentral.
GACGAACGCUGGCGGCGUGCCUAAUACAUGCAAGUCGAGCGAAUGACGAGAAGCUUGCUUCUCUGAUUUAGCGGCGGACGGGUGAGUAACACGUGGGCAACCUGCCCUACAGAUCGGGAUAACUCAGGGAAACCUGGGCUAAUACCGGAUAAUCCUUCGAAUCACAUGUUUUGAAGUUGAAAGGCGCUUCGGCGUCACUGUAGGAUGGGCCCGCGGUGCAUUAGCUAGUUGGUGGGGUAACGGCCUACCAAGGCAACGAUGCAUAGCCGACCUGAGAGGGUGAUCGGCCACAUUGGGACUGAGACACGGCCCAAACUCCUACGGGAGGCAGCAGUAGGGAAUCUUCCACAAUGGACGAAAGUCUGAUGGAGCAACGCCGCGUGAGUGAUGAAGGUUUUCGGAUUGUAAAACUCUGUCGUAAGGGAAGAACAAGUACGUUAGGAAAUGAACGUACCUUGACGGUACCUUAUUAGAAAGCCACGGCUAACUACGUGCCAGCCGCCGCCGUAA